Molecule: transfer RNA, 73 nt
Filed under: Sulfolobus acidocaldarius DSM 639
Lineage: Archaea; Thermoproteati; Thermoproteota; Thermoprotei; Sulfolobales; Sulfolobaceae
Description: tRNA-Trp
Rfam family: tRNA
About the family: Transfer RNA (tRNA) molecules are approximately 80 nucleotides in length. Their secondary structure includes four short double-helical elements and three loops (D, anti-codon, and T loops). Further hydrogen bonds mediate the characteristic L-shaped molecular structure. tRNAs have two regions of fundamental functional importance: the anti-codon, which is responsible for specific mRNA codon recognition, and the 3' end, to which the tRNAs corresponding amino acid is attached (by aminoacyl-tRNA synthetases). tRNAs cope with the degeneracy of the genetic code in two manners: having more than one tRNA (with a specific anti-codon) for a particular amino acid; and 'wobble' base-pairing, i.e. permitting non-standard base-pairing at the 3rd anti-codon position.
Source: RNAcentral
GGGCCCAUAGCUCAGCCAGGUAGAGUGCCGGGCUCCAGAGACCCGGUGGUCCGGGGUUCAAGUCCCCGUGGGC